This 482-nucleotide ribosomal RNA is filed under the name uncultured bacterium. RNAcentral's name for it is "partial 16S ribosomal RNA". It matches the Rfam family "Bacterial small subunit ribosomal RNA", at positions 30 to 507 of the family's 1533-position model. The record is from RNAcentral.
AUUGAACGCUGGCGGCAUGCUUUACACAUGCAAGUCGAACGGUAACAGGCCGCAGGGUGCUGACGAGUGGCGAACGGGUGAGUAAUGCAUCGGAACGUGCCCAGUCGUGGGGGAUAACUACUCGAAAGAGUAGCUAAUACCGCAUACGAUCUAUGGAUGAAAGCGGGGGACCGUAAGGCCUCGCGCGAUUGGAGCGGCCGAUGUCAGAUUAGGUAGUUGGUGGGGUAAAGGCUCACCAAGCCAACGAUCUGUAGCUGGUCUGAGAGGACGACCAGCCACACUGGGACUGAGACACGGCCCAGACUCCUACGGGAGGCAGCAGUGGGGAAUUUUGGACAAAGGGCGCAAGCCUGAUCCAGCAAUGCCGCGUGCAGGAAGAAGGCCUUCGGGUUGUAAACUGCUUUUGUACGGAACGAAACGGCUCUGGUUAAUACCCGGGGCUAAUGACGGUACCGUAAGAAUAAGCACCGGCUAACUACGUG